Molecule: ribosomal RNA, 253 nt
Filed under: uncultured bacterium
Lineage: Bacteria
Description: partial 16S ribosomal RNA
Rfam family: Bacterial small subunit ribosomal RNA
Source: RNAcentral
GACAGAGGGUGCAAACGUUGCUCGGAAUCACUGGGCGUAAAGGGCGUGUAGGCGGGAAGGUAAGUCGGGCGUGAAAUCCCUGGGCUCAACCCAGGAACUGCACUCGAAACUACUUUUCUUGAGUGCCGGAGAGGAAAGCGGAAUUCCUGGUGUAGAGGUGAAAUUCGUAGAUAUCAGGAGGAACACCAGUGGCGAAGGCGGCUUUCUGGUCUGCUCUUGACGCUGAGGCGCGAAAGCUAGGGUAGCAAACGGG